GUUUUCAGCCUUUCCUGUGAGCACAUUCAGCUUUUAAAGAUUCAAACAAACAACUUUCAGACUAGGAGCUAAAAUCUACAGCAAUCAUGAUCUUGGAAGAAGCUGGAUUUUUUGGGGUGGGUUUGAUUCUGUGUCUCUCAGGUGUUAAUGGAGGAGAAACCAGGAUCUGUGCUCUCAAAGGUUCAUCGGUGAAUCUGCACUGCUCACAUCAACAUCUGACUUCAAGCAGGAAAUGGUUCACUGUACACUUGAAUGGAUCAAUGAGUGAGCUUUCUGUGGAUGGACAACGUGUAACGUACAACAUGUCUGAAGAGAAAAACCCAACUUUAACCAUCAAUGAUCUAAGAGAGAGUGAUGCAAACACUUACUGCUGUAUGAAGACUACAGACAGUCCAGGAAACUGUUCAGUCAGUAAUAUUACUCUUCAAGUUGUUACAGAGCUGCAGGUAAAGGUGAUUCCUGCCACAGAGGGACAGACAGUAACACUGAUGUGCAGCAGCAGCUGUCCUCUGACUGAAAAGCCUGCAGCCUACAUCUGGUACAAGAACAGAGAGUUUCUCUAUGAGGACUGGU
Molecule: long non-coding RNA, 573 nt
Organism: Oreochromis aureus
Lineage: Eukaryota; Metazoa; Chordata; Actinopteri; Cichliformes; Cichlidae
Source: Ensembl